AUGAAUAUUCAGCAAGUGGCUUUGCAUUGAGUAAGUGCCCUUAAUCGGCUUUUCAGUUCAGUUUUAUUGGUUGCACGCGUAGUCAGUUAUUACAACAGGAAUAUUUGAGGGCCCUACAAAGCUAACCAGAUCAUUUAUGAAGAUGUUAAAUAACUCAUCUUGGUAAGACCUUCUUGAUAACAACCCUUCAAAAGGAAAACUGCACAGGUCUCAUUUUCCCAGGUGUCCUUGAAUACAGCAAUUCCAAUAAUUCCAUGAAUACAGCAAUAGUCAUGUCUGUGGGUCUCUGACUUCUAUAAAGCAUCCCUAUACACAGUGAAGUAAGAGUCAUUACAAAGUCAUCAUUUAUGAACAUCCUGUGUGCCAUGAUACCAGAGAGGUUGUUUUCUGGUGAAGUACUGAAGUACCCUGGUGUGCAAAGGGAUAAAGAUACUGCUGUUGGCUGUUGAUCACUGCAUCUGGGAACAAAAUACAAAGAACUGGUGGGAAAAUAUUGAUUGAAACGAAGUUUCAACAAAACCAAUGAAAAAUAUUAAAGUUUUGAGUUAAUAUUUUUCCUGACUUCAGACGAGCUCUGCUUUCAUUGCACAGGAGUGACUAAGAGAACUCAGGUUUCUUUUUCCCUGAAACAAAUUAUCAUCGUUAUGCUCUGCAAUGAUCAUCUCCCUUUAAUUAAACAUAAAAAAAGCAUAUUUGUCUUUUAAGCAAUGAUAGAGACACCAUUAAAACAUAAAUUUCAGCAAGCAUCUGGAUCUUAUAGUUGUUCUAAUUUGCAUGACAUAGUUUCCAUCAUUUUAUAACAACAUAUUGACUCUGAAUAGGCCUUUAGAUGCUGUAUGUGUUGCAAAAGAUAAUGAACUAAACCAACUUGAAAUUGCCUACAAGGAUCAUGUGAAAAUAAAUACCAUUGUAGUGAAACCUGCUUUAGAACUUGUCCAUUUACUUAUCCAUCUCCAGUUAUAUUCAUACCAUGACAGGCAUAAAAACUUAUUACUUAUGGAGGUUAUGGUUGCAGUUGCCUAGAAUAACGAAGGCAAAACAAGGAGCACAUUUUAAUGUUUUCAACAAGAAAAAUAUUUAGUUUGACUAUUUUUUCUUUUGAUGCAGUUCUGGUGUGAGUGAUAGAAGGCAUGAGUAACAUAGUGCUAGGCUUUUAAGAACCGAAGGCUUAUUAUACAAUCAGUAAGGAAUCAUACAGGGUGAAAAAAAAUAAUCAUGGUCAAGUCAACACAGUCCAAAUUGGACAGACCAAAUCCAUACCCACCACAGAAGGCCCAUUUUAACAUUUAUUGACAUCUUUCCACUAGAAGGCACCAAGAAAUAAAUUGCUGGUAGUGCAAUCCAAUUCAGGAGCAGUGGGAAAGCCACAGGCUCAUUACCAGUGUUGGUACAAGGCCAUGUGGAAAUGAGGUUUGCCAUUUCUAAAGAAAUGCCCUUUUCAUGGAAUGCUCCCAUAAGAAGCAUCGCCAGUGGGAAUAAAAAUGAAUAUGCCUAAAAUGAGGACAGUGCCCCUCAGACUUUAUGCCGCUUUCUAUCUGACCCUAAAUUAGGCCUCAGAAGAUGUAGCGUUUAAUACAGAUACUGGGCACAAUGUACCUUCUUGCAAUUAGAAGAAAAUGCUGUUUCGUAAUUAAAGGGUGAAGUGGGGCAUGAUGAACAUAUGGAAAAGGAGACCCUUAAUAAGUGAUGGAACCUUCAAAAGAAAUUGCUAAUUAGUAUGCAUUUGAUGUGUACUAUACCAAUUUUAAGACUUUGCCUAGAAUAAAUUGCUAUGUUGAGUGUUCGAAGGAGUGGUGAGAUUAGCAUUUACAAAGGGGGCAAUUUUCUGUCUUCUUGACUCUGUUAAAUGGAGGAAAUAACUUCCAAGACUGAAGCAGUAGUUAGCCCAUCAAUCAUCCUCACAGCUGGAAACUGGGGAUCCCAAAUGCUGAGAUGAGUUAAUCUGUCAGUUAAUAAGUUCAUAGUGGCACCAUAUGGCACUGGGCCACUCCACACUGGGGCAAGGACAGCACUGUUUACACAGACCUGCUGCUUUCUCAGGUACCUCCCUAUUCUCAGAUGCUUAGUUCUGCAGGAUCAAUUUAUUUUACACAGUAAAUUGACUGAAUUGAUCAGUUCAGAGCAUGUAAUUGUUGGCUAACCCCAGGGAAUCAUGUCCUGCCCAUAUCAGAGAGACAAAGGGUCCUGGCACUAGCGACCUUCUUGCUCCAUCCUGGAGGCUAUUUUCUCCAAACAUGAUGGACAUCAAUUAAAGCUGCUGAUGGGUGGAUAUACAGCCUGUAUUGACUUGAAGUGACAGACGUAACAGGAGAACCGGCUUCCUUCAGUGAGGCUGCUUUAGGUGUCUCAGACCGGCUGCUGCUGCUAAUUGUCCCAAGGGAGGAAAGAAUAUGAAGGUCAGUACCAUCAGCUUGAAUGCCAACCGAAAUUGAAAACCCAAACACCGAAUCAUAGGCUAGCAAGCAAAUAAAAGAUAAAGUCACUGUGUUUCAAGCUACACAAGCAGGGCAAUUUAGUACAAGGCACAAAUAGGCCGUAUCUCUGAUCAGAUAAAGACUCACCCAGAUGUGCUUAGGUGCUGCACAAUGUGUAACUUUCCAGCUUUAACCUUGAAAUUCCUCAAUUUUACAAGUAUGCUUGAAGGCAUCAUUUCCAAACACAGUGAUUACAUUUCAAUCUAAGUAUAAAAUGCAAAUCAUUCUGCAAAUGUGCAAAGUAUCUCAUUUAAUCUUUUCUUUUUAAUCAAACUUUUAUAACCAGUGACUUUCUGAUUAGUUUCCAACAGAAGUGGUAAAUUCUUCUUCCACUUUACAAAAAAAAAAAAAAAAAAAAAAAAGAAAAGGAUUUAGCAAGCAUAGUAAAUAACAUAUUUCAAAAUAUCAAAAUAAUAUGUAUUUGGAAGCUGUGAUGCAACAUUAAGUACAGUUUCCCAAAGGUGGGAUUGUAGCAAUACAAACCCACAUUUGUUAGAGAGUUUCCCUGUCUUGCCUCCACAGCAACUUUUUAGUGUAGGUUGUGGGGACUUUUCUUAACUUGCAGCUUACUGUUUAUUUCAGUCCCUUUGAAAUCUGUGGAACUUGAUGGGUAAGUAUGACUUAGUAUAUAUAAUAAACACACUCUAAGGUAUACUUCAAACCUGAACCAAGGGAGAUACCUCAGUGAAUUUAAUUGUUUGAAGAUAUUAUGUUCAUUUUAUGGUUUGUUGCUGCUAGAUAUUCAUCUCAGUAUGCAGAACUUAUCAUUCUGACAGCCAAACUGUAAAAAGUAAACAUCUCUUCCUUUCUCUUUUCCUUUUCCUUCCACUUCUGCUAUCUCCUUCCUUUUCCCUCCUCUUUCCUUUUUCUCUUCCCUUCUCCAAAACCUGUUCAUUCAUUUUAACAAAAAGAUACUAGAAGGAGACUCAGGAUUUCAGGAGUUUUUGCCAGAAUUCUGCCAAACUUCGAAGAAAGCUUGUCUUGUCUCUUUUCAGCAAUAAGUGAAAACUGGAGUUUAGAAAACUUCUGUUCAGGAACGUUCUAGGGUGCAUUAGAAUGCAUCAGUGGCAAAUACUUUCAAAACCAAAGGAAGAAGCAGUAAAGCAGUGUAUCAACUUACACACAUUAUAUAAAGGUAAGAUGUGAUUUCUUCCAGAUGCAGAGCAGAUGAAGGCACAAUGGAUGAGCUCAGUCCAUCCAGCAAAGGACAUCUCUUCACCUUCACUUUGCUUUCUCAGAAAGUAGUUUUGCAUGAAAAAUAAAUGCAAGAAAAUGCAAAUAACUGAAUGUGUUCAUUUUCUGCCCCCUGCUACCUUUAAAGAAAAGAAAGAACUUCAAAAGAACAUUUGUAAGACUAACUUAAUUUUAUGCAUUUAAAAAAAAAAAAGAAAAAACCCAAACAGAAAUAUUUCCUGUAUGUUAGUGAUUUUGUUUUUAAAUCCUGUAGUACAUUGCAUCAUAGAUAGUGUAACAUUAUCUACAAUUGAAAAUUCUGAUUGUAGUGUAUGACUAUCAUAGAACCAAAGACUGGUUUGUGUUGGAAGAGACCUUAAAGCUCAUCCAGUUCCAACCCCCUGCCACGGGCAGGGACACCUUGCACUAGACCAGGUUGCUUUAAGCCCCGUCUAACCUGGUCUUAAACCCUGCCAGGGACAGGACAGCCACAGCUUCUCUGAGCAGCAUGUUGACAUACAAACCCCUCAAAAUUCCUGAAGUUGUAAACAUUAGCCUUUUGAUCAACAAAAUCAAAAUUAUGUAUCUUAGAAACAAAACAACCCAGUAAUAUAACAUUUACUGUAUCAUAUACAUGAUGUAUGUAAUAUAUAAGAAGACAGGUUGGUUUAAAGCAAGUUUCAUUUCAAAACAAAUAUUUUGUAGCUGAGCUCUGAAAAACUUACAAAAGAUGCUUUAUAAUGGAAAUACAGAAAUAUCUUCAUGUGGGAAGCAUUGAAAAUCACCACCGCAGCAAAAUAAGAUGCACUUUACAAUUAUCUUUUUUUUCUGGAGGUUGUUAUUUGCAAAUUUAUGUUAUUGUCACUGGGGAAGGACAGUAACUGACACAUCAGCUGACAUCUUUGCUCCUCCUUGACCUAGAUUCAGCAGAGGAGAGAGCAUCUGCAGGAGGGAAAAGCUGCUUCACAUGAUUACUCUCAGCCCAUCAGCACUCCCUGUACUGCUGCUGGUAACAAACACUGCAAAUAAAAGUAUUUAAUGAAGCUUUCUGCAUAGCCCCUGCUUGCCAAGCUGCAAAGCUCAUAAUGGGACAAGAUAUUUCUAAACUCCAAAUAGCAGAAUUAAUGUAUCAGGGUAGAAGUGGUCACUGCUGCCUUCAGCUGCAGGCCUUUAAAGUUGGACAGGGCUUGGAGCAACCUGGUCUAGUGGAAGGUGUUUCUG
Long non-coding RNA from Strigops habroptila (Kakapo), 4868 nucleotides. RefSeq lists it as uncharacterized. Lineage: Eukaryota; Metazoa; Chordata; Aves; Psittaciformes; Psittacidae. The record is from RefSeq and is a predicted model, not a curated record. The transcript is spliced from 4 exons.